Molecule: RNA transcript, 1488 nt
Organism: Chenopodium quinoa (quinoa)
Lineage: Eukaryota; Viridiplantae; Streptophyta; Magnoliopsida; Caryophyllales; Amaranthaceae
Exons: 2
Source: RefSeq, a predicted model, not a curated record
GAUUUUUUUUUAAUUUCAUCUUCUUCCUCUUAGCGCAACAGCAACACAAUAGCAAACCAGUACACCACCAUCACCACACUUACAUGAAUAAUCUAAACACCAUCAGCACACCUCCAUGAACGCCACCAACAAUCCCCUUCUUCCAUGAAUAUCGGCAAGACGGCGGCUUCGCCGCCAAAUUUAAAGAAAACCCUAACAAUUAAUACAUAAAUUAGGGGAAUGGUUAACCCAAAAUGGUAGGUAUUUUCCCACAGUACUUGGGCUAUAAGAAUGGAGCUUUGUUGAUUUUCAAUUUGACAAAAAUCAAGCUUGAAGAGCUCUGUGCUGGGUUCGAUUAUUGAUGAAAUUGCUCAGAGCAUGUUUAAAGAAGGUACAAUUACAUCCUUUUUGGUGGUUCGAUGGGAAAUCUUGAUAAAGGGUUGUGGGUGUGGUGGUGGUUGUGGCGGUGGAUACUCACAGUCACCUCCAUUGUAGUAGAAGGUUGAAGAUUUAAUGUUGGGGAAUUUCCAACACUAUCCCUUAAUAAUUUGUGAAAAUGACAUUUAUACCUUGAUAUAAACAAACUUUAUUAAUAUAGGAUAUUAACUUUUAUUUUCUCGUGAAAAUGAUAUUUGAGAAAAAAGAAGUGUAGAAGCGAAAUUGAUAGGAGGUUUAUUUCUAAUGUAAAAUCCUUAUAGUUGGACGAUUGUAAUGACCCAGCCCCAUUAAUUUAUUGGACGGAUCUGACGCAUUUAUAACUGGGGCUUUUAUUAAUGGCUCUGCAAAUUAGAAGACAUAAACACGGAAGAACAUAGCCCUGCCCUCCUCCUCCUUCUCCAUUGAAGCGCACUCAACAUCGCACUUGACGUUCUCCAUCGAAUACUUGUAUCCCCCAUUGAAGCAACUUCUGAGAUGAAAGAAAGAACAGAGAAGCUUGAUUACUGGAGAAUGAGAGAAAAAUCAAUAGAGGAAAAAAAGAACAGUAAAAAGGAACUUAUCCAUAGGCAAAGUGGGAAGUGGAUUGAGGAAGGAAAUAUGGAGGCAAUGAUAAUGCGAGCAUUAGUUGAUCAUCCCACCCAACUAUAGAUGCUGGCUAGUUUAUGGGGUCAUUCAUGCAGGGCUGGCAGCUGUUCAACAUUUCAAAUUGUGCUCUCAUUGGUUUCGAGUCGAUUGAUACAGUUUGGAGUUGUGUAUGUUGUCCCAUAAAAUUUGCACAGUGCUACCCACACUGUUGUGAUAUUGUAAUCCAUCUUAUUACUGAGGUGUUUCGAAUCUAUCUCUGAUCUAGGGACACGAAAUUUUCUUAUAGCUAUGCUGUUACAGCCUUAACUAGAGUGGCAGUCUGUCAUAGAGUUUGAGCUUUUGGUGUAUUUCUUUCUCCUAUGAUGAAAAUGGUAAUUUUGACUUGGCGGUGUUAUAAUAGACGUAGUUGGUAUUGGUAAUGACGAUUUUUUGUGUAGCUUGUGCUGAUAAUAAUUUUCCAGUUUGGUUACAGUUAAAAUUUAUUCU